This 1009-nucleotide ribosomal RNA is filed under the name uncultured bacterium. RNAcentral's name for it is "bacterial SSU rRNA". It matches the Rfam family "Bacterial small subunit ribosomal RNA", at positions 8 to 1004 of the family's 1533-position model. The record is from RNAcentral.
AGAGUUUGAUCAUGGCUCAGAUUGAACGCUGGCGGCAGGCUUAACACAUGCAAGUCGAGCGGUAGCACAGGAGAGCUUGCUCCCUGGGUGACGAGCGGCGGACGGGUGAGUAAUGUCUGGGAAACUGCCUGAUGGAGGGGGAUAACUACUGGAAACGGUAGCUAAUACCGCAUAACGUCGCAAGACCAAAGAGGGGGACCUUCGGGCCUCUUGCCAUCAGAUGUGCCCAGAUGGGAUUAGCUAGUAGGUGGGGUAAUGGCUCACCUAGGCGACGAUCCCUAGCUGGUCUGAGAGGAUGACCAGCCACACUGGAACUGAGACACGGUCCAGACUCCUACGGGAGGCAGCAGUGGGGAAUAUUGCACAAUGGGCGCAAGCCUGAUGCAGCCAUGCCGCGUGUGUGAAGAAGGCCUUCGGGUUGUAAAGCACUUUCAGCGAGGAGGAAGGUGGUGAGCUUAAUACGUUCAUCAAUUGACGUUACUCGCAGAAGAAGCACCGGCUAACUCCGUGCCAGCAGCCGCGGUAAUACGGAGGGUGCAAGCGUUAAUCGGAAUUACUGGGCGUAAAGCGUGCGCAGGCGGUUAUGUAAGACAGAUGUGAAAUCCCCGGGCUCAACCUGGGAACUGCAUUUGUGACUGCAUGGCUAGAGUACGGUAGAGGGGGAUGGAAUUCCGCGUGUAGCAGUGAAAUGCGUAGAUAUGCGGAGGAACACCGAUGGCGAAGGCAAUCCCCUGGACCUGUACUGACGCUCAUGCACGAAAGCGUGGGGGAGCAAGCANGAUUAGAUACCCUGGUAGUCCACGCCCUAAACGAUGUCAACUGGUUGUUGGGAAUUAGUUUUCUCAGUAACGAAGCUAACGCGUGAAGUUGACCCGCCUGGGGAGUACGGCCGCAAGGUUGAAACUCAAGGAAUUGACGGGGACCCGCACAAGCGGUGGAUGAUGUGGGUUUAAUUUCGAUGCAACGCGAAAAACCUUACCCACCUUUGACAUGGCCAGGAAGUUUCAGA